Molecule: long non-coding RNA, 692 nt
Filed under: Chrysolophus pictus (golden pheasant)
Lineage: Eukaryota; Metazoa; Chordata; Aves; Galliformes; Phasianidae
Description: lncRNA (ENSCPIG00010009925.1)
Source: RNAcentral
UGCUGCCUUGCAGAGGCUGUGUUUCUGUGCUCCGUUGUGGCUUUUGCCAGUUCUGAAGAUUUUGAGCCUGUUUCAGUUUUACUCUGUGUUUGCUCUGAUUGUAUUCAACCAGGUUUUGACUCCCAUAAGAUGCAGUUUCUGUGAGGCCUGUGACCUAGCCUAGAAGGUCAACCUGACAUUGCUUUCCACUGCUUCCCUGACACGUACCACUGGUCAGGGCUGAGUCUGAGUGCAAACCAAGCCUUGCUGAGUGCCGGAGACCUGCUGGAAUCCACAGGAGUAAGCUUGCCUACAAAUGACUAAUUGUAGAACUUGAUGCUGUCUAAUGGGACAUGAAACAGCCAAACUGGGCAGGUAUGGCACACCCUCAGUCCUGAAGUGGAAUGGAAUAAAGCAGAGCACAACGUGGCUUCUCUCCUGGAAACCAACACCUGAAGAUGCAUUUUAGACCUUAAAGAGCUACACUACCAGUGCCCCUGAUGUCUGAAGCCUCUGAGAUUUGCUCUUAAAGCCCUGAUUAACCCCGAGCCCUCCCAGUUGCCCAACAAAAUGGUAGUGAGAUUGUAGAGUUUAAUUAUUUACUGUUUGGAAAACACUUUCAGACAAGUAAAGAAGAGAUGUCUUGUUAGUACUGAGUUAUGUUAAGCAAUAAUCCCAAUCAAUAAAAAUCAGCAAAUAAUUAAGUAUCUUCA